GAAGUACCGAGGGGGAGAUUUCUUCUCGUAAAUAAAAGAGGCAGCGAUUGCAAACAAGUCCCGGGCUGGAGAAAAGCAGGCCGGGGAGCCGCCUCCCCUCCCCCUCUCGGCACCAACACCCCUCCCCCCUUUUUGGUUAUCUCCCUGGCCCGGCGUCCCACCACUGACUCAGAGAGAGGGGGUGGAAGGAGGAGGAGAAAGAACUCGCGGGGGCUCAGGCGCCCGGGCAGAAGGAGGCUGGAGGAGAGCGGGGAGGCGAGAGCGCGCGGCGGUGGAGAGCCCCUCGAUCAAUUUUCAUGCAAGAAUCAUUAUCGCUGCGGGAACUGGAGUUCACCCUCCUCCGGGACCGAGUGGAGGAUCCCCAAACCGUGACCCAGGCGCUCCGGGCUGCCUUUUGUGAAACCCACACGGGGUUGCGGAAACGCACACGCCGGCGACCCGGCGAGCUCCUCUGGCGAGCGUCCUUUCACCUCCUGAAGGACCCCUUGGUGGCACAACCAGCCGGAAUCACGACUUGGUGACACUAAGGGGGUCACCUUUUGACCCCAGAUACAAUCAUGGCUUGAGGAACAGACCGGAGCCCGCAGAAAAAUCUUAAAUGGCUGGGCGGAGCGCUCCAAGGCUAGGGAGGGGUGGCGCUCCUCCCCGCCGCCACCAACGGCUCGGAGGAUGCAGCGUGCCGGCGGCUGCUGCCUUCUCCCAGAGCCCAGCCGCUGGGGGUGCGAGAAGCCGUUUUUAAUACCCCAGUCUCCUGCUGCGCUCUGCCUGGCGCCCCCUCCCCGCAGGUGGCCGAGAGCGCGCGGUCACGGGGGAGGGCGUCAGGGCUGCUGACCUGGAGGAAACCAGCCGCUCGGGGCCGCCCGCGCCCGCCGCCAGCCCCUGGCCGCUCCGCCCCGCGCUGACCUCCGAGGUCGCGCUAGGCCCUUGGCGCGGCGGCCCUUUGUUUCCGGAGCUGCGUGGCGGCGUGCUCCCCGCACCUCCCCUUGGGCCUGGCAUCCCUGCAGGGAGGUUACAGCGGGUCGAGAUCCAGCACCUGCCCGCUUCGUACUCCGCCCCCUAACUGGGCCUUCACUCAAGUCACCCGCUUCGCCUCCCACCCACUGUCACCUGCAUUCUACACAAUCUGCGCCCCUCUGCGAUGGGGGGAGGUGUACCAGGACCUGCGGCAGACCGUCUGGGUGAGCUGCCGCCCACUCCCCUAACCCCUCACAAGCUUGGAAAAAUCUCUGAUCCAACUUGGGGAAAAAAAAUAAAACUAUUUUACUGAAAGACCCUAAA
Molecule: long non-coding RNA, 1278 nt
Organism: Otolemur garnettii (small-eared galago)
Lineage: Eukaryota; Metazoa; Chordata; Mammalia; Primates; Galagidae
Exons: 4
Source: RefSeq, a predicted model, not a curated record